CCAAAUGUUGAAUUAAAUUUGUGUCGUGUUGCUGAAGAUUAACACAUGAUUUAUUACAUUUUUUUUUAAAGAUCAUUGACUUCAAUGAAUACAAUAUUUAAGAAAAAAAACCAGGGUGUGUUCAGUAAUAAUAGAACAAAUGCUGUGAAAAAAAUUAAAAAAUAUAGUUGAGAUCAAUGUACUGUGUAUGAAUGGAAGAUAUUUUAUUUUGAAACUGAGGCCCACAAAGAC
Molecule: long non-coding RNA, 231 nt
Filed under: Mytilus galloprovincialis (Mediterranean mussel)
Lineage: Eukaryota; Metazoa; Mollusca; Bivalvia; Mytilida; Mytilidae
Source: RNAcentral